GGGGUUUCAGUUUUUAGAACACCACUUUUGCAUAGUGGAGGGUUUACCUCA
This 51-nucleotide transfer RNA is filed under the name Paralongidorus litoralis. RNAcentral describes it as "tRNA-Ala". The record is from RNAcentral. Lineage: Eukaryota; Metazoa; Nematoda; Enoplea; Dorylaimida; Longidoridae.